This 253-nucleotide ribosomal RNA is filed under the name uncultured bacterium. RNAcentral describes it as "partial 16S ribosomal RNA". It matches the Rfam family "Bacterial small subunit ribosomal RNA", at positions 524 to 776 of the family's 1533-position model. The record is from RNAcentral.
UACGUAGGGGGCAAGCGUUGUCCGGAUUUACUGGGCGUAAAGAGCGUGUAGGCGGCCACGCAGGUCCGUUGUGAAAACUGGAGGCUCAACCUUCAGACGUCGACGGAAACCGUGUGGCUAGAGUCCGGAAGAGGAGAGUGGAAUUCCUGGUGUAGCGGUGGAAUGCGCAGAUAUCAGGAGGAACACCGAUGGCGAAGGCAGGUCUCUGGGCCACUACUGACGCUGAGAAGCGAAAGCAUGGGGAGCGAACAGG